CUGCUGAUGGGAAGUGGAGAAUAAACGUUAUUUUCCUCUUCAUUGGGGGAAGAGGAAAAGCUGUGAGUGCCCAGCAUGGAGAAGGUUCUUUCUCCAUCACCUCUGUGCCAGUCCCAGAAUAGUUCGGGUUGAAUGGGACUUGGAAGCCCAUGUUGUUCCACCCCUGCCCCAGGCAGAUACACCUCCCACCAGCCCAGGUCACUUCAGGUCUGGUCCCACCUGGCCAGUAACGCUGUUGGUGAUGGGGCAGCCAAAUCAGUCUAACCGAGAAGAACCGGGACGAGCCAGUGCUGCUGCGGCAUCGGCUCCUUCCGAGCAUGCUGAGGGGUCAUUGGGAAGAAGACAACCAUGGGCAGCUGCUCCCUCAGCAGCCCCUGGGGAGGGGACAUGGGGCAGGACAAGCCCGCUGGACCCUUCUCACCACCGCAGCCGCAAAGAGGCUCUGGUCGCCUCCACCACUUUUAUAGCAGCUGAAGUGUUCGCCCACACCGCUCUGACCAAGGGGGAAAUCAGACGAUGGGAGUGGAAUGCAGCCCCCGUGUCCAUGCGGCGCCACCUCGGCCAACUCUUCAUCCCGGGAACUGAGCCGCGGUCCAGCCGUGGGAUCUGCAGCGCUGCACAGUGACCGGCUGGGGAAGCGCAUGAGCCGGGUGGGGGUUCCUGGUUACCACGGACGUUCCCUCAAGGCCGUGUCCCCGCCAAGAUCGGGCGAGGCCCCGCAGGCCUCAAACCAACUGGGGGGACAGCCCCAGAAACCAGAACUUUGGUUUCGGGCGCUUGGAGCUGAACGAGGGGGAUAAAGGAUCCCCCGGCCCCUCCCCCCGGUGCCCCAGCAGCAGCUCUGCCCCCCAGAAUGGGGCUGUGUUCCCCCCCCGGGCUUUAGGGGGUGAGUGCAGAGUAGGUGCUGAGGUGCUGGAUGUCUCUUGACCGAUGGGGCUGAAAGGGACAAGGAGGUGUCAAACAAGUGGCAAAACCAAAUAAAUGAAUGGUGUGUAUCAGGUC
Pseudopipra pipra is the source of this 1002-nucleotide long non-coding RNA. RefSeq lists it as uncharacterized. The transcript has 2 exons. NCBI's taxonomy places the organism in Eukaryota, Metazoa, Chordata, Aves, Passeriformes, Pipridae. The record is from RefSeq and is a predicted model, not a curated record.